UACGUAGGGGCAAGCGUUGUCCGGAUUAUUGGGCGUAAAGGAGCUCGUAGGCGGUUCCGUAAGUCGUGAAGUCAAAUCUCUGGGCUCAACCCAGAAUCGCUUCCGAUACUGCGGUGACUGGAGUCCGGUAGGGGAGUGUGGAAUUCCUGGUGUAGCGGUGAAAUGCGCAGAUAUCAGGAGGAACACCAACAGCGAAGGCAGCACUCUGGGCCGGUACUGACGCUGAGGAGCGAAAGCAUGGGGAGCGAACGG
Molecule: ribosomal RNA, 252 nt
Filed under: uncultured bacterium
Lineage: Bacteria
Description: partial 16S ribosomal RNA
Rfam family: Bacterial small subunit ribosomal RNA
Source: RNAcentral